AUUUCGUUUGCCCUUUACAUGGUAUUUUAAUGAUUUUAACUGUUGUUUAUUAAGGGGGGCAAAGGGAUUACAGACCUGAAAUCUGCUCUUGAGAAAAUUUUUGGUGAGACUCUUUUGGACAACAAAGAUGACUUCCUGAAAACUUUUUCAACUGAGAAUAACUUCAUUAGUUCGGUUGUUUCCCAUGGAAAAAAGUUGCAAAUGAAAGCUUCCAAUGGCCAUGUAAC
Long non-coding RNA from Hibiscus syriacus, 227 nucleotides. RefSeq lists it as uncharacterized. Lineage: Eukaryota; Viridiplantae; Streptophyta; Magnoliopsida; Malvales; Malvaceae. The record is from RefSeq and is a predicted model, not a curated record. The transcript is spliced from 3 exons.